CCUCCGGCCCCGGCCGCCCCCGCCCGGCCGCGCUUACCGGCGAUGCGCAGCACGGCCCGCUCGGCGGGGUCCAGCACCGAGCCGCCCUGGAUCUUCCGCUUGGACCGCUCGUGUUUGGGCAGGUUCCAGGGCAGCGUGUCCCCCGGCGCCGGCGACACCGUCCCCGACCUCUGGCUGAAGUCCUCCUCGUCGGAGAAAUCGGCGGAGGACGACAUGGAGCAUCGGUAGGACGCGUUGCCGGAGCUCUGCACGGGGAGACAGACAGACAGACAGAAGUUUCCUGCUCACUGAGGUGGUGAGCUUCCACUAGGGGUUGUGUUUCCUCCAGGCGAGGUGUUACUCGUCUUCUGACAUGGCGAGGGCUUGAUCUAAAGCCCUGCAAGAAAAAAAGGAAUCAUCGUGUUUGGCAUCUCCCAAAAUGGAGCUGUGUAACAUCCACAAAUUCACACUGGAUCUUAACAACUAAAGCAGAAUACCUGCUGAAGUCCUUAUGCAACAAAGCCAGCAUUUUAGAAUCCAACUUCUGCAAGGUUAGAUUUCAGAUAAAACUGCAGAAAUCUAUGCUGUGAAUCUAAAUAUCCUGAAUUCCUGCCAGCAGAAAACUAGUGGGAGCAGUACAUUUCCAUAUAAAUCUGCUGUUCUUUUGCUCCCCCCUUCCAUUAGCUUUUGGGUUUUGUGAUUUGUUUUGCCUUUUUUGUUGUCAUUUUAAUUAGGAAAUCAGCACAGAAGAGUUGUGCUAAAAUGCUGUUAUGUUGGUAAAUUGAAAUAAUCAAAAGUAUGGCUCUGUGAAAACUGGAUUUCCUCCACUAAUGUUCAUGAGACUGUAAGGGAAGACAGUGCCUGUCCUGGACACUCAGAUGGACAGAGAAACAGCUAUCUUCAUUAUUUAAAUGCAUUCCAUAUUAAGUAAAUAUACACUUAAACAGCCAAAAGACACAAACACACAUUUACAUACACAUGCUAGUAAUUGCUAUAAAUACACAUUGCAUGCAACAGAUGAUGUAAAAAGAUUGAAGUGGAAAGGUGAAGUAUCUUCCAGGGAACAAACUUCUACACAUGAACACUGGAGAGGAGGGACAGAAAUAGAGCCCAAAUCUACUUAGUCAGUCUGGGAGGCUCACGUAUGGAGUGCAUCAGGGCUGUGAAGUACAUUUGAUGCAAAGGUAGAGCCAGUGUUUCCUGAAUCUUUUUUUUAUGACCCCUCCUACUCUACAGAAGCAAUGGAACCAUUCGGAGUUUAGGUAAGGACAGACCUUGACACCCCAUGUCUGAAUGGAAGCAGCAGCCUGCCCGUACCAACCAAAGCAAGCAGAACAGGGGAAGCCACUGCAGACCUGUGCAGAUUUAGGAGGAUCUGCAAACAUUCCCGGGUGUCAAUCUGAGACUCUGCCACACUAUUGCAGCAGGAAAAAUCAUUGCCCCAUUUUCUUUCUACAUUGUGAAAUAGCUAACAGAUACAUACAAUGUAUCAUUCAACAUGAUACUAGGGACUAUUUGGGAUAAGAAGGAAAAAUACAACUCAGGGAGCCUGCUAUAGCGGGGCUUACUGCUCGUGGAAAUGUUCUUUUAGAAAAAAAUGCUAGUAUGCAUCAGGGAUUAUUCCAUAGCAAGUGAAAAUAUUCCUUAGGAGACCUAAACACCCAGGAAAUCUAUUCCAUGUUCUGAAACCAGAAUAGAUUUUCUAAUGUUAAAUGCAUUAUGUUUUUUACGUGAGGGCCACUGGCCAGAGCCUUGUGAUGUACCCUGCACUGCUCCCUCACCACACUCCCAUCCCAUUAACUGGAUAAAACUCUUCAGGAAAGUAUGUUUAUGUAACAGAAGAAUUUGAUAGAAGCUAAGCAGCUCUAAAAGUGCUUAGAAACACAUGCCAAAUAGGGAUUUAAGUAUGUGGGUCUGUCUCACCAAGUGGCUUCACCUCAAAAUAUGUCUAGCUUUAUUGAUUAUUAUGUUUCAAUAUGAAAAAGUCACCUCUGAUUUCCAGAAAAAUCUGUUUAUAGACAAUGUUUCGCCUUGACAUUUUCAGUAUUUUUUUCACUUUUACGGUUUAUUACUAGCAAGAAAAUGGGAUAUUUAUCUCUUUAAGAGCUCAUCUGCUUCUGUUUGCUGAGGCUCAUUCUUCCCUUGAAGUCAUAAUCUGCCUGCAGUAUCACAAAUAGUUGCUGUGAGGAGGAUUAUAAUGCGAUAAAGGCAGAGGAUCAUGAUUUCAGGUGGAAAAUUAAUUCUGUAUCUACAAAGAUAAUGUUACAAGGGCAGAGCCCUCAGACCAAAUCCCAAAAUGCUUACUCAUUCCUGCAAUGGGACUUUGCCAGAGCAAAGACGCAAAUCCAGAAAAUUUCAAAAUUUGAUAAUCAAAAAUGAAGACAGGAGGCAAAAGUGAUGUAACAUAUGGAAGCUGCUACUCCUAUGCUCAGUGCAAAAUUAGUGUGCCUGGUGAUUCCUUCUAAACAGUAAAAUGAACAGAAGCUUUUUGUGUCAUCUGUGUUAUUUAUCCCUCAGUUUAGUCCAGAAUUAAAACCACCAUAUUAAUACAGCAAUCAAAAUUUAAAAAACCCACAGAAAUCACAAAAAUAUUUGUUUGGCAAUGACAGAACUAUUUUAGAUGUCAAGUCAGUGCUCAUAGAUGAGCAUAAAAGUGUUACAAAAUGCUCAGGGAAGCACAGUACACCACCUGAGACCAAACCACCGAGGAAAAGCUGGAGAUUUUAAAAUCACAGGGAUAUUACAACAAGGUUGCUCUAACACAGUUAAGCGAUUUGUAGUUUCCAGUAUCAUAUGAAUGCUGUGUCACUGGGCAAUGAAAACCUUGUCUUGUUCUUUGUGCUGGGAGGGAGUUGCUCAUUCCCAGAACCUACUGCCUGACUCAUUUUUGUGCCUGUAAAAUUCUGAACAACAAGGCAAACCAAACAAAACUUCAAACGUAUUUUUAGAAAACCUGUCUUCCAAAUACCAAAAUAGCUGCACAAAGGUUUACACUAAAAUAAUUUUCCUUAAAGAAACAACUCAUAUGAUCACCAGAACCAGUUUAGACAUUUCAGAGGAAGACACGAGGCCAACUGAAGCUGGAAUUAUCUUCUCUGCAAAAGCAUUCAUGUGCAUCCUUCCAGUCAGAGUCUGCUGGAAUCCAGGAAGAGUGAUCUUCCUAAUCUGAGUCUACAGCAAACAGGAAUGGAGAGGUGUCUCUGGAGGUUGUUGCAGAGCCAAAGGCUAGUUCACCUGUAUCAAACAAGCUUUUCUUUAUGGAAGCAGGCUGGGGACAUCAGCCUCUUUUAGCUGAAAUUCAUCCUUUUAAGUCUUCUCUGAGUGUUGGGGGUUUUUAUUUGUUGUUUGGUUGGGAGGGUUUUUUGUUUGCUUUUUGUUGUUGUUGUUUGGUUGGUUUUUUCUCUUGGAUGAGGUGUGAUAAUAUUAAAAUAACCUAUUCUGUCUAUCUUCAUACCCAAAUCAAUGAAUGUUGCCAGCCUGGCCAUGGCAUGCCAAGAGCACACUGUGUAAAAUUACUUUCACAAUAAGGUGUUCAGUAAAACAUAUCUUAUCCAGCCAAGUUUUAACUUCACAGCUCUGAUUUAGCUCUGACUAAUUCCUUGUCUAUAGAAACACAUGUGGGUUUUCUCUGACCAAAAUUCAGCAGACAUGCCCUCCCCAAGUUACCCUUUGAGCCACCAAAGCCAGCAGGUGAGAUGAGCCACUCCCUCACAGCACCUAUUUCUCUCCAUUGGCCACACCCAGAGCCCAGACUGACCUCUUCACUCACACACAUCCAUACUGUGAGUAUCCAAAUUAAAUAGGAUGGAUCAGACCCGUGGUUUUGGUCUGCCUCCAAUCUGGUGUUCAUCAUUCCACAUUUUGUCAUCAGACUUCCUUUUAUUUUUCUGCUUCUACAUGAAAUUAUUCUGGUCUCUUCCAUCAGCUUUUUUUCCUGUGAGAGUUUCAUAUUUUCUCAUUCACGGAUAUCACUCGUGAUGGAUGCCCAUAAUUCAGUACAGUACUCUUAUAAAUUUAUAUUACUGAUAUAUAUAACAGUAGCACAUGUUUUUCUGUUCUGUUUAAACAUUUCCCUUCCCAUCUCCUUUCCAAUGAGGCUACACAUCUGAAAGUAGUCCUCACUGAACUGUUAAAAGUCAUUCAGAAGGCCCUUUCUGAAAAUCGUAAACCUAAAAAUUAAAAUGUGGCUAAAGACUUUUCUCUGUAAUAUACUCAACCCUGCAUUUGUUAACAACAUCAUAUGUAUUUAUUUGCCCCAUUUCUUCAAUAUGGUCUGCUAUUUGAUAACCAAAUGUGUCAUACUCUGCUAUCCUUGUUGUGUUUUUGCUUAUUCUCAUUCCUAAUCCAUUCCUCAUAUAAAACAGGAAUUUUAAAUUUCCUUAAAAACUUGUUUAGCUUUUGCUUUUAUUUAAAUUUACAGAUAAGAACACAUUGAAUAAUGUAUUGAACCUUUUUCUUUCACUGUCUUAGUUUUUCUGUAUUUAUUUUUAAUUUUUUUUCUGAUACUUUAUUAGCACCAGACGAAUACAUCAGUGCUACCCCAUGUGUGUAUUAUUGCUUUAGUGAUAAAAAUCUCUGACUCCUCCAUUAUUUGAAUGUGCAAUUGUAUUAAUUCACCAGAUCCUUCUCCUCUCCAUUCUAGUUUCUACUAGCCCUGGUACCUUCAUCAUACAUUAUCUCUAUUUUUAUGCUUAUAAGAAGCCAUAUUCAGUUUUCAUUUUUUCCAGUGUAUAAGUAUUUUACGUAGAAUAUAUUGGUUGUCAGAAUUCUAUCUUGGGACCCAGCCUUUCCAGCCAGUAUGGGUUUUCGGAGUCAGUAAGCAUUAACAUCAAUAGAGGUAAAAGUGCAUUAUCUGAUGUCCAGCUGAAGUCAACAGAAAUCUUUGCAUUAACUUCAGUGGGCACUGGACUGCAGCCCAGCUUACCUUCUGGCAGAACUUCAGUAAAUCACAGAGAAAGUAACACUUCCAGUAAAUCACAGAGAAAGUGCUAGCUAGCAUUAGGCCACAGUUCAGUGACAGCAGAACUCAAGUGUGUUUGCAAAGGUGUUUGCAGAUAUUUGAGUAAUUCCUGUAGAUGAAGGUGCACUAAUAUAUAUCAAAGCCAAAAGGAGCUUAGAUAGGAUAUCCGGAUUUGUGUUCUUGCUUUUAAGGUUUCUGACAGUGGUUGUGUGUGCAUGAGAAUUGUCAUCUGUUACCAUUGUCAACUAAUGGCCUCAAGAAAUAGCCUUCAAAUUGCCAGUUACCUCCUGUUUAAAUCUUGGAAACUUUCAUGUUUACACAACCCACAGCAUCUUAGGGCCUGCAGACAUUACUAUGGGUAGCAUCAAAUCCUUCUCAAGAUGCUGGCAUUCUACAGACAGGCUGAAAUAGAAUUAAACCCUAUAGUUGGAGUACCUAGUUCAACUAAAAUGGCAGGUUUAAAUUAAAUAACUUUAUUGUAUGAAAUUCCCUUGCAAACUGAAAGAGAAAAAUUUGAGAUUCUUUCUGUUACAUAGAAAAACAUUUAUGCAUAUGUGUGUGUAUAUAUUUACAUAUACAUAUAUAUGGAUAUAUCUAUGCAUCCAAACUGUAAGAACAGUUUUAAAUUAAAAAGUGGCCAAGAUUGCAUUAUUUCUCUCCUUCCUCUUCCAUAGAGAUUUCCAUACCAAAUAUUAUCAGUUUACAAAGAACCAAAGAAAACCCCACAACAUUUAUUUAACUGCCAGUUCUGCAAGUUCCACCCAAAAUCCAAGAUUCAAUCUAAGUUCUCCAAGAUUUUUAUAGUAAAGAUGGCUAAUUAAUGUAAGGUGUAAAUUUUCUAUCCCAGGAAGAUUACCUACACUCACUGAGUGUAUUACUUAUUGCUUACGCUGAGUGUAUUACACUGAGUGCAUACAGUUGCAUCCACCCAAGGAGGAUGCAACUGUAUUUGUUCUAUUUUGAUUCUAUCAGAACUAAAAAAAUAGACUGCAACCUUUUUUUUGUGUGGGUCUCUUGAUUUUUUUUAAUCUUACAAAGGGUUACUCCUAUAAAGAUCUGAAUCAGGAUUUAGAACAUAAAAUAUAAGAUUUUACAUUCAAUUUCUCAUUCCACUUCUUCAAUAGCAAGCUUUCACUGAUGCUGCUUUGCAUGCCUUAUGUUUAUUUUAGGAGAUAUUAUUCUUAUCUUAUAAAAUCUAAACUCUAAGCAGUGCUGGAACCAUUUCUCAGAUAUUGAAGACUGUGAUUUGGCACAUGCAACAUUCCAAGAUAAGUCCACACGUUCAAAGGCAUUUAAAGCAAUUGCUUUUUACAUAACGUGAACAAGAUUACUUCCCCAACCAAAUUUAUGAAAUAGAACAUCAAUAAUCUGCUUUCCAGUUCCUAAUCAGGCUCCUCCAUGUAAAUACACAGGAGCCCUUGUAUUUAGGUAUUUAGGAGUCCUUAGGUUUAGGUGUGAAUGUAGAACACAGUGUCUAAUAAUCCAUGCUAAAUUACAUUGCUGUUUAACAUGGCUUGUUUGGUUUUUCCUGUCAUAAGGCCAGGAUUCCUAUUAAAGCACAGGUAAGUUGUAACAUUAGGAAAAUCUGAUGAUCUGCAAGCAAACAGCCAAAUGGCACACCCAGUCAUGCCUCAAGGUACCCUUUCAAUACUCUUUCCUGUCUAAAGCUAUAAGCCACAGAGGCUGGCCCUUUCUCCAAGCAGCCCUGUGGCUCUCUGACAAGAAGCUUGGAGCUCUCCAUGAGAUGGCUUGUCCCAGUUCCUUCCCUGCUACCUCAGGGCACUGCAAGCCUCCCUAGGAAGGGAACAAUUAUUUAAGAACAAAAUUAUUUAAGAACAAAAAAAUCAGUGUACUGCUUGAUCAGUGGUCUGCAAGGGAAGGUUUAAUUUAAGAUAUACCAUCACAUUCCCCUAGCAUGUCCCCUUUCCAGCCUUGCUUCCUCUGUUUUCCAUCUCUUCAUGUCUCCUCAUCUUGGGCAGUGUCCAGUAUAUAUCAAGGAUCUGCCAGAAGACAUUAGCUUAAAAUAUUAAAAAAAUGGUAAGAAGCUGAAUAAGAAAUAACAUGGAUUGCUAAACCAUAGCAGUGCUGCCAAACAUCUAAUACAAAUCUAAUACAAAGAGAUUACUCUCUUUUGUCCAGUGUAGUUGUUUGAAACACAAAAUGGUAAGAGAAUAUAUCCCACCACAGCAUGUGAAGAUGUGUCUGUGCUUUUUAAAUUAUAAAAUAGAUGCAUAACUGAUGAGAGACAGGAAUAUAUCAUAAAAAGAUAACUAAGCUAGAAUUCAGGUAUCUAUUAAGACAAAUAGAUUCAGAUACCAACAACAUACCUGAACAAGUCUUUGCUUCCUGUUAUCACCAAUAAAAAAUUUAGUUGACACAUUCAGUGAGGCUUGAAGAACCAUUCAGCACAUCCUGAAGCAGACAUCAACACUAGGUCAGCUGAGCAGUUCUGUAGACUGCAAUCUGUAAAUGCCUACGGUGAGCUUGUUGGGCUGCAUAAAGGGAUGCUGUUUUUACAAACUCACUUUCCAGCUCCUACCUUCAUAUGAAGGAAGGUAGUGGAGGCAGAUCAGAAGAGAACUUGGUUGUAUCAUUUUGUUCUUUCUAGAACAAGGAAGAAGGAUAAAUACAAUACCUCAGCCUGACAUGAUUAUGUAUUUCAGUAUAAUCUGUGCUAUCAAUUUAUGUAAUCAACAAUUAAGCCUGUAGGAUCUGUGUUUCACUUCCAGUCUGCUCUACUACCUACCCCACCAUCCUGAAGCAGAGUGCUGUAUUUAAACAGCUGAGUGGACAGGGGAGAUAAGGACAUUGGCACAACUUGCAAGAAAAGUGUCUUUGCCCAAACAUCAAGUGCAGUUAGUUUCUGUAGCUGAUAUGGUGUUUUCACACUCCAGCCACAGCUCAUGUUUCAUUCCCACUGAUGAGUCAGGAACAGCAAAGCUCUGACUCUCCUUGAUGCAAGGCAGUAGGACACAAGGGAGCCCAGCAGGGGCUCAUACAUUUUGGGUACAAGUAUCCAGACAACAAGCACCCAGGCUGGCUGCUGAACCAGAAGCACAAGGAAUAAGCUCAAAACCAAGGCAGCUUUGCUAACACUAACCAAGAUCAGCUGUCUGCACUGUGAGCCUGACAUGCCAAAGCAUCUCUGCCACACAGUGCCGAGUCCUUGCCCCGGGAGGCUGGAGGAGCCCACGGGCCCCUCUGCAGAGCCCGAGACCCCUCUGGGCUGCAGAGCUUGUGGAGCAGGGUGAGCAGCUGCAGCUCUGGCUGGUGUCCCUCGUGUCUGACACGGCCAGGCCCCAAAAAGCCAGCUCAGCUGAAUCAGAUCCUACAUGAAAACAUCAAGGUGACUUCACCCUGUGCUCUGCACAUUCUUCCACAGCAUAUCAAAGGUGCCUCUAUUUAAAACAGUCUGGGAAUGGAAGACAGUGUGAGUGAGGCUUCCACGCCUAAGGAAAACACACGCAAAAGCCCUGGAGCAGCCAAAACCCCAAGGGUUGUACUACCCUGUUCAUGUGGUGCUUUCUUACAUUUAAUACCCUCAGUCUAAAGAGCUAAGCUGUUUCUGCAGGAACUUCCACAACCUGAUCUGUCACCCUUGUAAUCUAACUGCAAUAACUGAGAAAUCAGUGCAGAUGAUUAAGCUUUUUCUGUGUGAUCUAUGGAGCCCUGCAUGAUCCCUUCUGUCUGUGUAAGAACAGUUUCUACAGGAUAUGUGGUAAUACAUGUGCUCACUGCAAGUAUGACCUCAGCUACUCUAAUUCAUGGUUUCAGUCUGAGGUUUGUUUAGGGCAAAAGGCAGGAGCUAGAAGCUCCCGUUCUGUACACGUGUACAAUGUGUCUGUUAACAGGCAGAUGGCCACAAGCUGUGCUCCCCCUGCAUCCCUGUGAAAUCAGGGUUCUGGUUGUGUGUACAGGGAUGUGCACUGAAAUGGCACAGAGCACCACCGAACUGCAGCUCAUCUAAAACCCACAUUUCCAGAGACAGCAGCAGAUACUGAGAAACAUAGAUAGCUGAAUACUUACAUGAUAGCCAUGAGGUUGUUGGCAUAACUGUACAUUAAUGGGAAACUAAAGAGUAAGAAGAGCUUUUAUGAGGUAGUGUAUCUUUACGCAGUGGUUUUCCCAGUCCUGCUAGAGAACAUGAGGAUGUGUUCACCUACAAAGCAGGUCCCAGGACCAUGCCUGACCACUGAUGUGGACCAUAACACAAUGGCUAGUACUUUUUUAGGUCAUGGGUGGAGCUCAGAGGUGAUUCCUUCAGUAUUUCAAAGCUCUGCCGACCAUCAGAAUCCAGAACAGAGAUGCAGACAAGGCUAUAUAAACAUUGUAGUACAGAGUAAAAGUACCCAAGUCAACUUCUCUGGAGUUAGUUUUGCUCAGCACUCAAGCAGUCUGGCUGCAGCAAUCAGACAAAUCCUAUAUAUUUGGUGAUACAAACAGGCUGUUCCUCAGCACAGACCGAUGCUUGUGGGCUAUCUAAAGGCAGCACUGCUGUGACUAAAGCUGACAAAGAGUGAUGGACAGAUGACAUAAAGUAAACUAAAUCUCAGUGAUACCUACUUUGCCAUGUGACAGCUCAGUGUGGCACACUCUGUCUGGACCACAUUAUUUGAUAUAUUAUGAAAAAUGGACAGAACAGUUUGUCCUUAUACAGUGUAACCUGUAUUUAUAGCUCUUCAUUCAUUCCUAUAAGUGCUCUCAUACAGCUAAGAAAACAAUUUAUUUUUUCUCUGAUUUAUUUUCCUUUGAGCCUAUUCCUUACCUCUUAGACAGCUAAUGGAAAAAUAGUUUAAACAUCCUGAGGGAAAUCAUGUCAAACACAAAGGUAAAAUAUUUUCAGGCUGAUUCAACCCUGUAAAGACAAUGAAACAUCCUUUCAAUAGGUGAAUGAAUGUAUUAUGCUGGCUAGUCCUGCACAUUUGUGGUGCUUAUUGGAUGCACUCCCUCCGACCAAACAGAAGAUUCAGAUUCAGCUUGGAGGGUCUGAUGAUUUCUCCUUUCAUUGGAGCUGUACAUAUCUGGAGCAUUUUAUAAAUAACUGCAAUGCUCAGGAUGAAUUGUGGUGCAACUCUUCAAAGACUAUUAGUUAUUGUUUUGUAAGAUAACUAGAACCGUAUUUUUAGGCAACUGUCUCACAAUCAGCCUCAGAAGGGGCAUGAUUAUGGCAAAAGUAUCCUUAAGGAUAAGUUUAUGUACAAUUUUCUGGACAUCUGUGUUGACAAAGUAAGAUAUACAUUUCCCAAUAUACAUUGUUGUACUAUAGCUUUGCAUCCAUUGUACCAUAAUGGAUGAAUUAGAAAAUCCAUUUGCUCUUAAAAACCAACGCCAGUCUUGGAUGAACUAUAUCACUACCAGUCUAGUCACAACAAUACAGAACUCACAGAAUCACUAGGUUGGAAGAGACCUGCAAGAUCAUUGAGUCCAACUCAUACCCCAACCCCUCAACUAAACCAUGGCACCGAGUGCAACAUCCAGUCUUUUCUUGAACACAUCCAGGGAUGGUGACUCCACCACCUCCCUGGACAGACAAUUCCAGUACUUGAUCACUCUUUCUGUGAAAAACUUUUUCCUAAUAUCCGACCUAUAUUUCCCUUGGCACAGCUUAAGAUUGUGUCCUCUGGUUCUGUCACUUGCUGCCUGGAGAAAGAGACCAACCCCCACCUGAGCACAGCCACCUUUCAGGAGGUUGUAGAGAGUGAUAAGGUCACCCCUGAGUCUCCUCUUCUCCAGGCUAAACACCCCCAGCUCCCUCAGUCGUUCCUCACAGGGUUUGUGUUCCCAGCCCCUUACCAGCCUCGUUGCCUCCUCUGGACAUGCUCAAGCAUCUCAAGGUCCUUCCCAAGCUGAGGGGCCCAGAACUGGACAGAGCACUCAAGGUGUGGCCUCACCAGCACUGAGUACAGGAGAACAAUGACCUCCCUGCUCCUGCUGGCCACACUAUUCCUGACACAAGCCAGGAUGCCCUUGGCCUUCAGCAGGGCACUCUGCUGGCUCAUGUUCAGCCAGCUGUCACCAGCACCCCCAGGUUCCUUUCCACUUGGGCACUGUCCAGCCUCACCAUCCCCAGCCUGUAAUGUUACAGGGGAUUAUUGUGGCCAAAAUGCAGGACUCAGCACUUGGACUUGUUAAACUACAUCCUAUUGGAUUCUGCCCAUCCAUCCAACCAUUCCAGGUCUCUCUGCAAGGUCCUCCUUCCUUCCAACAGAUCAACACAUGCUCCCAGCUUAGUGUCAUCUGCAAAUUUACUGUACUCAGUACCCUCACCCACGUCAUCAAUAAUAAUAUUGAAAUAGACUGGAUGAUUACAACCUUGUAGCAACUGUUCAGUGUACUAAAAUGAAAAUGUGGGGUCUGCAAAACUCAACCACCAAAUGUUAUUCCUUUGCUACAGACAUGGUUAACACACACUGCCAGCCCUCACAGAGAGUCUUCUCACAAAGGGCCAACUCCUAUUUAUCUUGCUGGUGUGUUUAGUUCCACCUGGGUUAUGUGAAGUCAGAAUUUACAGUGGGCUGUAAUACUUGUACUGAUUUGUUUCCUAGUAGUUUUUGACCUGCAGGUCUCAGUGGAAGCAUUCACAGGAAACUUGCCCAAAAUACGUGAGUCAACAUCAAAUAAAUACAAAGUGAUACCAUGUUGCUUAUGACUACCCACUGGCACUGACACCUUCAGUGACUGAGGUCACAGUAUCCCUAACAUCCUAAGGUAAAGAAAAACUGUGAAGCUCAGAGAAAAUUUCAGCAAAAGAUUUAUAAAUCUGGUAAUUUUUCCUCAAUAAUAUGAAAACUGCUACUUUAGCAAUUAGCACAAUUAUCCCUUCACAAUCUCAUAAAUCCCAACCCUUUAUAGAUCCUGAAUGAGAACCUUCCUUUUCAACAGUUCUUACCACCAAAUCAAAAGACAUUAAGAAUUGUACCAUUCAGAUUAAUUCCUUCCAGCCUCAGGACUAGAAGCUUUCUUCCCUUUUAAUUGAAAGGUAAAAAUCUCACAUAAUCCAGUGACUCCAGAGGCUUCAACUAUGAGGAAAACUAAUUCAGAAAGAAAUUUAAAUCACAAGAAGUGGCAACACCAACACAUUAAGCAAUGCUUUUAAAUUGAAAGGUAUAGAUGACUUUCAGACUCUAAGGCAUAAAAUUAUAAACAUUGAAAGGUGUCAAGCCCAAGCCCACAAAGUACUCAGAGAAAAUUUCUCUGCUUCAUGAAAAAAAAAAACUUCAACAAAGAACACAAGAAGAAUAAAACUAAUGAAUAAUUUAUAGCCUUUACAUUUUUAAUAAUAAUUUUAAUAUUAAUAUUAAUAAUAAUAAAAGACCAAACAAUGUAUCAUAGUCCCUACUUUGGUAAAACUCUCACUGAGUUAUUUUGUUAUUUUGGUGUGGUUUUGGUUCAGCAUGGACAUUUCAUUCUACAACUGAUUCUCAAAAUAAAGACAGACUAGUGCAAACAACUACAUCAAAGUCUGAUGUGUC
Passer domesticus (house sparrow) is the source of this 12411-nucleotide long non-coding RNA. RefSeq lists it as uncharacterized. Lineage: Eukaryota; Metazoa; Chordata; Aves; Passeriformes; Passeridae. The record is from RefSeq and is a predicted model, not a curated record. The transcript has 3 exons.